AUGCUUGACACCAUCUGGGCAGAGCUGCCGGGGCAGGAAGUGGUUUAUCAAUGGGUUGAGUGGAUACGGAAUGCUUCAUUAUCACAUAUCUGGCUUGAUGGCAAAAUAAUGUUAGGCCAAGACAUUCCAACGCACAAAGGAGAUAUGCGGGCAAUCUCAAGAGCUGUCUCAUUGGACACUGUGAUCCCUUCAAUGCUCAGUUACAAUAGUAAGAAGCAUUACCAAGCUUUUCUUGAGGAUCUUCAUAUGUGCAUGAUAUGCAUUAACCAGAGCAAAGGUUCAAACUUCAUCAAGCUCCCAUGCCAACACUUGUUCUGCGUGAAAUGCAUGGAGACCUUAUGCAAGAUGCAUGUGAAGGAAGGUAGUUUGUUUCAGUUGGUAUGCCCGGACACCAAGUGUAAUGCUUCCAUCCCACACUAUUUAUUAAAGAGGCUUCUUAGCAAAGAAGAAUUUGAACGUUGGGAUAGGCUUGCUCUUGAGAAAGCGUUGGACUCAAUGGCAGACGUGGUUUACUGUCCAAACUGUGCCAUAGGCUGCAUGGAAGAUGAGGAUAACAACGCACAAUGUCCGAAAUGUUCAUUUACCUUCUGCGGUUCUUGCAAGGAAGUAUGGCAUCCAGGGAAGCAGUGUCUAACUCUAGAACAAAAGCUGCAGCGCCGGAAGGCGUCAGGCAAGUUGAAUGACAGGGAGAUGUCACAGGAAAUGCUGAACAUCAGAGAACUGUACAAAGAUGUUCGGGUAUGUCCAAAUUGUCGAAUGGCCAUCAACAAAAGCGCAGGCUGCAACAAAGUGAUGUGCACUAGUUGUGGUCAGCUAUUUUGCUUUCGUUGCUGCAAGACAAUCAAUGGCUAUGAUCACUUCAAGAACUGUCGGCUCUUCGAGGCUGCAGAUAUGACCGACUGGGACAAGAAAAUGAUUGAACUACAAAAUGGAAUUCAGAUGCGAGCUCAAAAGCAACCAUUGGGCAGCACCAUAAGAUGCCCCAAAUGUCGCGAAAAAAAUUUCAAGGAUGAUGAGAAAUAUGUCUUCUGUUGGGCGUGCCGAACCAGCUACUGCACACUAUGCAAACGGACAAUCCAGGAUAAGAUGCUAAAGAGGGGGCAUUGGGGCUCGCCGGAAUGCGUAGGGAUUGAUAAGUUAUAG
Molecule: ribosomal RNA, 1143 nt
Filed under: Triticum aestivum (bread wheat)
Lineage: Eukaryota; Viridiplantae; Streptophyta; Magnoliopsida; Poales; Poaceae
Description: partial small subunit ribosomal RNA
Source: RNAcentral